AUUGAACGCUGGCGGCAUGCCUUACACAUGCAAGUCGAACGGCAGCACGGGGCAACCUGGUGGCGAGUGGCGAACGGGUGAGUAAUGCAUCGGAACGUGCCAUUGAGUGGGGGAUAACGUAGCGAAAGUUGCGCUAAUACCGCAUAUUCUGUGAGCAGGAAAGCAGGGGGACCGCAAGGCCUUGCGCUCUUUGAGCGGCCGAUGUCAGAUUAGCUAGUUGGUGAGGUAACGGCUUACCAAGGCGACGAUCUGUAGCGGGUCUGAGAGGAUGAUCCGCCACACUGGAACUGAGACACGGUCCAGACUCCUACGGGAGGCAGCAGUGGGGAAUUUUGGACAAUGGGGGCAACCCUGAUCCAGCCAUGCCGCGUGAGUGAAGAAGGCCUUC
This 388-nucleotide ribosomal RNA is filed under the name uncultured bacterium. Its description in RNAcentral is "bacterial SSU rRNA". It matches the Rfam family "Bacterial small subunit ribosomal RNA", at positions 30 to 419 of the family's 1533-position model. The record is from RNAcentral.